CCCACUCAGCCUCUCAGUCACAUAAGCCAUCUGAGAAACAGAGAGGUGGACAGCAGAUUUCAGAAGAAAUACUCAUGUGGCAGAGUUAGAUGUGUGAUGCAGAAAAGGACAACGCUUUGAUGAUGUUCUGGUCCAGUGAAAUAUCCUCAGGCAGCAGGAGGAGGAGCUCCCGUCUGAACCGUUUGGGCCCGGUUAGAAAGUGACAGGACCAAUCAGCAACAAGAGGCAGUACUUUCGGGCGCUGCAGAGCCACGAUGUCAGCAAGUAGCAACAAGAGGCCCGUGCAAUUAUGGCGGAAGACAUUAGCGUGGAUGCUGAAGCGCCAGUUUUAUCAGAACUUGACCACAUUUCCUCGUU
Molecule: long non-coding RNA, 357 nt
Organism: Cheilinus undulatus (humphead wrasse)
Lineage: Eukaryota; Metazoa; Chordata; Actinopteri; Labriformes; Labridae
Exons: 3
Source: RefSeq, a predicted model, not a curated record